RNAcentral lists this ribosomal RNA (679 nucleotides) under uncultured Bacteroidota bacterium. RNAcentral's name for it is "bacterial SSU rRNA". It matches the Rfam family "Bacterial small subunit ribosomal RNA", at positions 184 to 867 of the family's 1533-position model. Lineage: Bacteria; Pseudomonadati; Bacteroidota. The record is from RNAcentral.
UGUGGCAUCACAAUAUUACUAAAGCUUCGGCGGUACAAGAUGAGCAUGCGUCCCAUUAGCUAGUUGGUAAGGUAACGGCUUACCAAGGCAACGAUGGGUAGGGGUCCUGAGAGGGAGAUCCCCCACACUGGUACUGAGACACGGACCAGACUCCUACGGGAGGCAGCAGUGAGGAAUAUUGGUCAAUGGUCGGAAGACUGAACCAGCCAUGCCGCGUGCAGGAUGACGGCCCUAUGGGUUGUAAACUGCUUUUGUACGGGAAGAAACACCGGUUCGUGAACCGGCUUGACGGUACCGUAAGAAUAAGGAUCGGCUAACUCCGUGCCAGCAGCCGCGGUAAUACGGAGGAUCCAAGCGUUAUCCGGAAUCAUUGGGUUUAAAGGGUCCGUAGGCGGUCUUAUAAGUCAGUGGUGAAAUCUGGUCGCUCAACGAUCAAACUGCCAUUGAUACUGUAGGACUUGAAUUACUGUGAAGUAACUAGAAUAUGUAGUGUAGCGGUGAAAUGCUUAGAGAUUACAUGGAAUACCAAUUGCGAAGGCAGGUUACUAACAGUGGAUUGACGCUGAUGGACGAAAGCGUGGGGAGCGAACAGGAUUAGAUACCCUGGUAGUCCACGCUGUAAACGAUGGAUACUAGUUGUUUGGGGCACCCUGAGUGACUAAGCGAAAGUGAUAAGUAU